GAGGAGGAGGAGGGAGGAGACGGGGGUGGGGGCUCGGAGCCGUUCAUUUCCCAGCGCAGAACCAAGUCACAGCAGCAUCUCUCGGGCGGGCGCUCCGGGAUGCGGGGCUGGGCGCACCGGUGCAGCCCCGGCUCCCGCAGCCGCUCCGCUCCCCCUGGAUUCUGGCGUUAUACCCGCGGGGUGCAGCUUCAGAGCCCAGAAACUUUCCCGUUUCCUGCGGCGCUGACGCUGGUUUUUGGCUUAUUCGUUCGAGUUAUCUUUAAAACAUCCCAAAAGGAGUGUUCUGUCAAACCACGACUUCCCUGGACAUCCACAAACCCCAAGAUGCUACACUGCUGUAUGACUGUUUACAGGUGUUUGAGACAAAGCAUUCAGCCCAGCUCUUCUUUCUCAUGUAAAAUUGCAUCCCACUCAGUAAUUCCAUUUGGAAAGUGUAAUUCUGGUAUUCUCUGCAAUAUGGUUGUCUACUUGAAAGGUAGUAGACAUAAAUGUCAAUGAAUCUGGCUAUGGAUGUGUUUUACAUUUGAGGGUGACUACUAUAAUACUCAUUUAUUAUUGGUCUCUAUUUAAAUGCAACCCUCCUCUAAAAAGACAUUCAGUAUAAAUAGCACUAGGUUGCACCACACUGAUUCUAGUUCAGAAGUUCUGGUUUUUAAAUUCAGUUUACAAAUAGAGAUAUAAAAAGAUGGUUUGGCUUUUUUCUUAUUAUUGUUGACUCAAUGAGUCCAGCCUAGAGUUAUAACUCUAUAAACUUAAGCUGAAUCUUCAAGCUUAGCUAGAUUCUUUCAUAAAUCAGAAUGAGUUGUUGAAAUUCAGAAGGACAAAAUAACUCUCAGUUAUGAGUGCACAGCCUCAGUUUGCUCAAAUGAUAUCUUUGGUUAUCUCCAUGCAACCUGAGCACCAUCAUGAAGCUGAGAAAAGAAUUGGGAGGGGGAAAAAAAAAGGAAAAAAACAGGCAAGAGUGCAUUACAAGAGUGACUCUGCAACAGAAAACUGCUUAAUAAUUCUGUUGAUAAAGUGAGAGACAGGGAAGAACUCAUUUCCCUCUCCCAGAGCUCAGUUGGGGUGACUGAAGUUGAAAGAAGUGCAGCUCUCGUAAAGGUAAGCAGGGACAUCCUUCAGUACAGACACUGGAAGUUUGAAAACACUGAAGUCACUGGGAGCUUUGCCAUUGACUUUUGGGGGAGGCAGAAUUUUACCCUGGGAGAAGAUCUGCUGAGUAAGAAAUGGCCCCUUGUAUAUGCUUUCUCUUCAAAGUCAGGUCACCUUUCAAGAGCAUUUUUACUGCUUUUAUUUGCUUGCUCCUAUACAUCCAAUUCAGAACUAGUUCCUAUCCACUUUUUCAUUUUCCUUAUGGUCUUUUUUCUUAAAGGAGAAUUGGGCCUCGGAAAAUAACAGCAUACUGAAUCAUGUUAUUGUUUGUAAAAGCAUCAGUUUUCAACACUCUAAAAUUAUUACACAUUUAAUAUUAAAGCUCAAGAAAUUAAAUAUGCAUAAU
RNAcentral lists this long non-coding RNA (1498 nucleotides) under Calidris pugnax (ruff). RNAcentral's name for it is "lncRNA (ENSCPUG00000017240.1)". Lineage: Eukaryota; Metazoa; Chordata; Aves; Charadriiformes; Scolopacidae. The record is from RNAcentral.